This 474-nucleotide ribosomal RNA is filed under the name unidentified nematode Sourhope farm. RNAcentral describes it as "SSU rRNA". It matches the Rfam family "Eukaryotic small subunit ribosomal RNA", at positions 58 to 529 of the family's 1831-position model. Lineage: Eukaryota; Metazoa; Nematoda. The record is from RNAcentral.
UCUAAGCACAUGCCUUAAUACGGUGAAGCCGCGAAUAGCUCAUUACAACAGCCAUCGUUUAUUAGAAUAUCGUUAUCCUACUUGGAUAACUGUGGCAAUUCUAGAGCUAAUACAUGCAAUAAAGCUCCGCCCGCAAGGAACGAGCGCAUUUAUUAGAAUAAAAACCAAUCGAGUUUCGACUCGUAAUUUGGUGAAUCUGAAUAACUUUGCCAAUCGCACAGUCCUAGUACUGGCGAUGUAUCUUUCAAGUGUCUGCCUUAUCAACUUUCGAUGGUACGCUAUACGCCUACCAUGGUAGUAACGGGUAACGGAGAAUAAGGGUUCGACUCCGGAGAGGGAGCCUGAGAAACGGCUACCACAUCCAAGGAAGGCAGCAGGCGCGCAAAUUACCCACUUCCAGAACGGAGAGGUAGUGACGAAAAAUAACGAGACAGUCCUCUUCGAGGUCUGUCAUCGGAAUGGGUACAAUUUAAA